RNAcentral lists this ribosomal RNA (477 nucleotides) under uncultured bacterium. RNAcentral's name for it is "partial 16S ribosomal RNA". It matches the Rfam family "Bacterial small subunit ribosomal RNA", at positions 28 to 507 of the family's 1533-position model. The record is from RNAcentral.
GAUUAACGCUGGCGGCGUGCAUAACACAUGCAAGUCGAACGAUGAAACUUUAAUGAACCCUUCGGGGAGAAUUAAAGCGGAUUAGUGGCGAACGGGUGAGUAACGCGUGAGUAACCUGCCUUACACAAGGGGAUAGCCUUUGGAAACGAAGAAUAAUACCCUAUAAAACCAUAAAAGCACAUGCAAUUAUGGUCAAAGUGAUAGCGGUGUAAGAUGGACUUGCGUCUGAUUAGCUAGUUGGUGAGAUAAAAGCCCACCAAGGCAACGAUCAGUAGCCGGCUUGAGAGAGUGUACGGCCACAUUGGGACUGAGACGCGGCCCAGACUCCUACGGGAGGCAGCAGUGGGGAAUUUUGCACAAUGGGGGAAACCCUGAUGCAGCGACGCCGCGUGAUUUAGAAGGCCUUCGGGUUGUAAAAAUCUUUUGUAUAGGAAGAAAAUGACAGUACUAUACGAAUAAGGUCCGGCUAAUUACGUG